This is a non-coding RNA of Cajanus cajan (pigeon pea), 423 nucleotides long. NCBI's taxonomy places the organism in Eukaryota, Viridiplantae, Streptophyta, Magnoliopsida, Fabales, Fabaceae. The record is from RefSeq and is a predicted model, not a curated record.
AGCUUGGAAGAGAAUAUAUUAAUAAAAUCAAACAACUUCACCCACCUCAUUCAUUUGUGCCAUGGGUGGUGGUGAACAAUAAACCUAUUGGAAAAGACUAUGCAAAUUUUACAUACCAUGUUUGCAAGGCUUACAGAGGUGUUGCGGUUCCAGGGGUCUGCAAUCUUGCUUUGAAAUGAAUAUCACUUGUUUUACUUUUAGUCAGGUAAAAGGCUACAGAAAGAUGAUCAGCACAUAAUACUUUCUAGUUCCCAAAACAAACAUUGUCCCUGCAAAUAUGUUACUUCUAUCAUAGUUAAUUAUUAAGGGAAAGAUGAAAUAUCUUAUGUUGUUUUUAUAAGGCCAGUCACAUAUUGUUAACAUGGAAUAUUAAAUAACAUGAAAUACUAAAUAAACACAUAAUGUUGUAGAGACCUCUACUUA